RNAcentral lists this ribosomal RNA (492 nucleotides) under uncultured bacterium. RNAcentral's name for it is "partial 16S ribosomal RNA". It matches the Rfam family "Bacterial small subunit ribosomal RNA", at positions 29 to 507 of the family's 1533-position model. The record is from RNAcentral.
ACGAACGCUGGCGGCGCGUCUUAAACAUGCCAGUCGAACGGCAGGAAGGGGCUUGCCCCUUCUGAGAGUGGCGGACUGGUGAGUAACACGUGGGUGACAUACCUUUUAGUUGGGGAUAGCUAUUAGAAAUAGUAGGUAAUACCGAAUGUGACCGUACCUGUUAGAGGGGUACGAGGAAAGGAGCUAAGGCUUCGCUAAAAGAAUGGCUCGCGGCCCAUUAUGCUCGUUGGUGAGGUAACGGCCCACCAAGGCGAUGAUGGGUAUCCGGCCUGAGAGGGUGAACGGACACAUUGGGACUGAGAUACGGCCCAGACUUCUACGGGAGGCAGCAGUUAAGAAUAUUCCGCAAUGGACGAAAGUCUGACGGAGCGACGCCGCGUGGAUGAAGAAUGCCGAAAGGUUGUAAAAUCCUUUUAAGCCUGAUGAAUAAGCACAGUAGGGAAUGAUUGUGCGGUGACCGUAGGGCUUGAAUAAGCACCGGCUAAUUACGUG